Molecule: long non-coding RNA, 351 nt
Filed under: Pan troglodytes (chimpanzee)
Lineage: Eukaryota; Metazoa; Chordata; Mammalia; Primates; Hominidae
Description: lincRNA
Source: RNAcentral
GGGAUGUUUGGUGUGGACCGAGGCGCCUCCUCCUCCUCACUGUCCAGAUGUUCUCCUCCAUCUCCUGUGGGAGGUGGCCAGAGGGGUCCUCAGACAACCCAACAAGGAAGGAAGAGGAAGACAGAGCUCUUACCACAGGGAGGCCGAGAUGGCACAGCAAGAGGCACGCCCCCAGAAUGCCACCAAUGUCCCAGGACAGGCCCACCCAUGGGACCAGGUUAUCAGGGACCCUAUGGGGAUGGGGUGGAAUCUGAGGGGUGAGCCUUCUUCCCCAGGCUGGGAGUGGGCAAGAUGAGACUGGCACCUCUGCAUCUGAGUGCCCCCAAACCCAGCAGUCAUGUUGUAAGCAAA